AGGAAUAUUGGUCAAUGGGCGUAAGCCUGAACCAGCCAAGUAGCGUGAGGGAAGACUGCCCUAUGGGUUGUAAACCUCUUUUGUGCGGGGAUAAAGUGUGGGACGUGUCCCAUAUUGCAGGUACCGCACGAAUAAGGACCGGCUAAUUCCGUGCCAGCAGCCGCGGUAAUACGGAAGGUCCGGGCGUUAUCCGGAUUUAUUGGGUUUAAGGGGAGCGCAGGCCGUCCUUUAAGCGUGCUGUGAAAUGCCGCGGCUCAACCGUGGCACUGCAGCGCGAACUGGAGGACUUGAGUACGCACGAGGUAGGCGGAAUUCGUGGUGUAGCGGUGAAAUGCUUAGAUAUCACGAAGAACUCCGAUUGCGAAGGCAGCUUACCGGAGCGCAACUGACGCUGAGGCUCGAAAGCGCGGGUAUCGAACAGGAUUAGAUACCCUGGUAGUCCGCGCGGUAAACGAUGGAUGCCCGCCGUUGGGAUUUAGAUUUCAACGGCCAAGCGAAAGCGUUAAGCAUCCCACCUGGGGAGUACGCCGGCAACGGUGAAACUCAAAGGAAUUGACGGGGGCCCGCACAAGCGGAGGAACAUGUGGUUUAAUUCGAUGAUACGCGAGGAACCUUACCCGGGCUUGAAUUGCAGGAGAACGAUCCAGAGAUGGUGAGGCCCUUCGGGGCUCCUGUGAAGGUGCUGCAUGGUUGUCGUCAGCUCGUGCCGUGAGGUGUCGGCUCAAGUGCCAUAACGAGCGCAACUCCUGUCCAUAGUUGCCAUCAGGUCGUGCUGGGCACUCUGUGGAGACUGCCGCCGUAAGGUGUGAGGAAGGUGGGGAUGACGUCAAAUCAGCACGGCCCUUACGUCCGGGGCUACACACGUGUUACAAUGGGGCAUACAGCGAGUUGGAUGUGCGCAAGUACGUCCGGAUCAAUAAAGUGCCUCUCAGUUCGGACUGGGGUCUGCAACCCGACCCCACGAAGCUGGAUUCGCUAGUAAUCGCGCAUCAGCCAUGGCGCGGUGAAUACGUUCCCG
This 1018-nucleotide ribosomal RNA is filed under the name uncultured bacterium. RNAcentral describes it as "bacterial SSU rRNA". It matches the Rfam family "Bacterial small subunit ribosomal RNA", at positions 357 to 1376 of the family's 1533-position model. The record is from RNAcentral.